UACGUAGGUGGCGAGCGUUAUCCGGAAUUAUUGGGCGUAAAGAGCGCGCAGGUGGUUGAUUAAGUCUGAUGUGAAAGCCCACGGCUUAACCGUGGAGGGUCAUUGGAAACUGGUCGACUUGAGUGCAGAAGAGGGAAGUGGAAUUCCAUGUGUAGCGGUGAAAUGCGUAGAGAUAUGGAGGAACACCAGUGGCGAAGGCGGCUUCCUGGUCUGUAACUGACACUGAGGCGCGAAAGCGUGUGGAGCAAACAGGAUUAGAUA
This 261-nucleotide ribosomal RNA is filed under the name uncultured prokaryote. RNAcentral describes it as "partial 16S ribosomal RNA". It matches the Rfam family "Bacterial small subunit ribosomal RNA", at positions 524 to 784 of the family's 1533-position model. The record is from RNAcentral.